UAGUCCACGCAGUAAACGAUGAGUGCUAGUUGUCGGGAUUUUCUCGGUGGCGAAGCUAACGCGUUAAGCACUCCGCCUGGGGAGUACGGCCGCAAGGCUAAAACUCAAAGGAAUUGACGGGGACCCGCACAAGCAGUGGAGCAUGUGGUUUAAUUCGAUGAUACGCGAGAAACCUUACCAGCUCUUGAAUCCUGAUUACGAUUUUCAGAGAUGAAUUUUUCAGUUCGGCUGGAUCAGUGACAGGUGUUGCAUGGCUGUCGUCAGCUCGCGUCGUGAGAUGUUCGGUUAAGUCCGGCAACGAGCGCAACCCACGUCCCUAGUUGCCAGCAUUCAGUUGGGCACUCUAUGGAAACCGCCGGUGAUAAGCCGGAGGAAGGUGUGGAUGACGUCAAGCCCUCAUGGCCCUUACGGGUUGGGCUACACACGUGCUACAAUGGCAGUGACAAUGGGAUAAUCCCCAAAAACUGUCUCAGUUCGGAUUGGGGUCUGCAACUCGACCCC
This 501-nucleotide ribosomal RNA is filed under the name uncultured bacterium. RNAcentral describes it as "bacterial SSU rRNA". It matches the Rfam family "Bacterial small subunit ribosomal RNA", at positions 791 to 1319 of the family's 1533-position model. The record is from RNAcentral.